GGUUAUUUUACCAAGGCUUUGACUGGAAUGGCAUGCUUUCCUUUAAGGAAUGGAACUUGACUUGUAGAGCCAAUGAAAGCCCCUUGGGAAAACUGGCCUCAUACCUUGUCUACACAGUCCCUGUACAAGGUUCCUGACCUGUGACUGACUGCUUAUUCCUGUGAAACAAUCAGUGAUCUCUAACUGCAGCUCAGAGGAAACAAGAGGGAUGGGUAAUGUAAAAAUCUGAAUCAAUAAUCUAAUUCUGAUAUGAAGCAAUUCAGCUCCAUAUCAUCCCAGUUCCAACAGUUGUCCAGUUCAUGGAAAGCCUUCUUAUUUAGUUUACUUGGGAUAAUAUCACUUAGUUUGUUUUACUCUUGUGGAAUAUAUUGCUGUUGUACUGUCUGUGCAGGAAUGCAGAAUAAGCUUACUCAACAUUUUCUUAAAUUAAAUAUUUAUUAAUCUUCCAGAUAACACCUUUUGUUGGAACUCAAGAGUUACGUAUGGCCCUCAUCAUACUGAUGCUUUCUGAUUGAGCCCAGCUCUAUCCUGAAUAUAAGAGACCCUGGUAGGCAGAAAUAUCAUCACCCCUAUUCAGCAUGAAGAAUUUAUAGAAGAUGAAUCUUCAUCCCACUGCAACCCUUAGGAUUAAAGGGUUCUCUUAUAAAAGGGAGGGGGGAAAUGUCAGAGGUGUUUGAACUAGAGCAACUCCAUCUUGAGUAGGAGCUGGG
RNAcentral lists this long non-coding RNA (710 nucleotides) under Homo sapiens (human). RNAcentral describes it as "HSALNT0140313". The record is from RNAcentral. Lineage: Eukaryota; Metazoa; Chordata; Mammalia; Primates; Hominidae.